AUCUUCGGCAAUGGACGAAAGUCUGACCGAGCAACGCCGCGUGAGUGAAGAAGGUUUUCGGAUCGUAAAACUCUGUUGUUAAGGAAGAACAAGUACGAGAGUAACUGCUCGUACCUUGACGGUACUUAACCAGAAAGCCACGGCUAACUACGUGCCAGCAGCCGCGGUAAUACGUAGGUGGCAAGCGUUGUCCGGAAUUAUUGGGCGUAAAGCGCGCGCAGGCGGUCUUUUAAGUCUGAUGUGAAAGCCCCCGGCUCAACCGGGGAGGGUCAUUGGAAACUGGGAGACUUGAGUGCAGAAGAGAAGAGCGGAAUUCCACGUGUAGCGGUGAAAUGCGUAGAGAUGUGGAGGAACACCAGUGGCGAAGGCGGCUCUUUGGUCUGUAACUGACGCUGAGGCGCGGAAGCGUGGGGAGCAAAC
This 420-nucleotide ribosomal RNA is filed under the name uncultured bacterium. RNAcentral's name for it is "bacterial SSU rRNA". It matches the Rfam family "Bacterial small subunit ribosomal RNA", at positions 361 to 773 of the family's 1533-position model. The record is from RNAcentral.